This 491-nucleotide long non-coding RNA is filed under the name Phoenix dactylifera (date palm). Its description in RNAcentral is "long non-coding RNA (PDAC_LNC017678)". The record is from RNAcentral. Lineage: Eukaryota; Viridiplantae; Streptophyta; Magnoliopsida; Arecales; Arecaceae.
UAAUUUGGUCAAAAUCUCUAAAUAACCUACGUAAUAUAAAUGAGAAUACAUACCAACGAGUAUUUGUACCACCAGUUGAAUACAUGGCCCCAUCAUGAUGGAUAGAUGACUUGUGCGUUUGAAUCUUUUCCUGUAAGAACUCUGUCACCAAACUUGUAAGAUGUGCAAUUUGUUUCUGUUCUUCCUCUCGCUCUUUUCUUUCCUCCUCACGCUCUCUCCUCUCCUGCUCCAAUUGCCUCCGCAGCUCCUCAUGCUCCAUCUUCAUCUCCUCCAUCUUAGCUUUAAGUCUGCAACUCCCCAACAUGGUCUUGUGACACACGACUAGGUGUGGAAGAAGAUGAAGAGGGCUUCGGCCCAACCCUAAAUCCAAGAAUUUAUCUCUUCCUUUUUCCAAGUGCUUGCCUAGACAUCUCCUCUGAUGUUAAUUGCACACCGGAUUGGGAAGAUUCUUCUCGCAAGCUCAACAUCUUUGACUGUCAAUGCAAAGGUAA